Molecule: long non-coding RNA, 184 nt
Organism: Bufo bufo (common toad)
Lineage: Eukaryota; Metazoa; Chordata; Amphibia; Anura; Bufonidae
Exons: 2
Source: RefSeq, a predicted model, not a curated record
GGCUGCCACAAUGCUUCCAACUGGAGGUGAUGUGAAGACAGGACCGGCAAUGACCCCAGUAAGCAUGCCCUGACCAACAUAUCCUAUGGAUAGAAAGAGAGAAGGGAUCACCUAGGUAAUAAAAGGAUUGACCAGUGCGAUAAAACAUACAUUUCAGAUAAGAGGCAGAACAGGUUAAAAAAAA